Molecule: long non-coding RNA, 287 nt
Filed under: Volvox carteri
Lineage: Eukaryota; Viridiplantae; Chlorophyta; Chlorophyceae; Chlamydomonadales; Volvocaceae
Description: long non-coding RNA (VCAR_LNC003091)
Source: RNAcentral
UUUGGGGAGAUUGAGUCUGAGCCGGCAGUGGCUGCGGGGGCGAGCUGUCACAAAUGUAGCAGCCCAACAGGAGAUGGCGAUACGGGGUGACAUCAUCGCUUCGGAGCAGCGACUCGUCCAGCUGGGGGUGUGCCUCGUGAGCCAGACGAAUUAAGUGAUCAUGUAUUGUGGCGACAUAGUGGUACAGGCGCAGCAGCACAAUGGGUUUCUCGUGGCCGCUCCGGGCGCGAUGCAUGGCUUGGCAGUUUUCCCACCUAUUCCCAUCCCCGGCAGACAUUUCAUGGCUU